This 1423-nucleotide ribosomal RNA is filed under the name uncultured bacterium. RNAcentral's name for it is "bacterial SSU rRNA". It matches the Rfam family "Bacterial small subunit ribosomal RNA". The record is from RNAcentral.
GAUGAACGCUAGCGGUAUGCUUAACACAUGCAAGUCGAACGAAAAAGAAAUUUUUAGUGGCGAACGAGAGAGUAACGCGUGAGAAUUCAUCUUUAAGAAGAGGAUAACAGUUAGAAAUAAUUGCUAAAACUCUAUAUGCUUUUAAAGAGAAAUAAGUAAUUAUAACUAAUUAUAAGUGAAAAAAGAAAUUUGCUUAAAGAGAAGCUCGCGUCUGAUUAGCUAGUUGGUAAGGUAAAGGCUUACCAAGGCGACGAUUAGUAACUGAUCUGAGAGGAUGAUCAGUCACGCUGGAACUGAGACACGGUCCAGACUCCUACGGGAGGCAGCAGUGAGGAAUAUUCUGCAAUGGGCGAAAGCCUGACAGAGCAAUACCGCGUGAAGGAUGAAGGCCUAUGGGUUGUAAACUUCUUUUCUCAAGGAGGAAGAAAUGACGUUACUUGAGGAAUAAGCAUCGGCUAACCCUGUGCCAGCAGCCGCGGUAAUACAGGGGAUGCAAGUGUUAUUCGGAUUCAUUGGGCGUAAAGCGUCUGCAGGUUGAUAAUUAAGUCUUUUGUUAAAGCUUUGGGCUUAACCCAAAAUCUGCAAAAGAAACUGGUUGUCUAGAGUAUAGUAGAGGUAAAGGGAAUUUCCAGUGGAGCGGUGAAAUGCGUAGAUAUUGGAAAGAACACCAAUUGCGAAGGCACUUUACUGGGCUAAUACUGACACUCAGAGACGAAAGCUAAGGUAGUCAACAGGAUUAGAUACCCUGGUAGUCUUAGCUGUAAACGAUGGAUACUAGAUGUUGUGUAUUUUUAAUAGACAGUGUCGUAGCUAACGCGAUAAGUAUCCCGCCUGGGAAGUAUGCUCGCAAGAGUGAAACUCAAAGAAAUUGACGGGAGCCCGCACCAGCGGUGGAUUAUGUGGUUUAAUUCGAUGCAACACGAAGAACCUUACCAGGACUUGACAUGGAGAGAAAUUUUUUGAAAGAAAAAUGUGCUAUGGCCUCUUACACAGGUGGUGCAUGGCUGUCGUCAGCUCGUGUCGUGAGAUGUUGGGUUAAGUCCCGCAACGAGCGCAACCCUUGUUUUUAGUUAAUCCUCUAAAAAGACUGCUGAUUAUAAAUCAGAGGAAGGUGAGGACGACGUCAAGUCAUCAUGCCCCUUAUGUCCUGGGCUACACACGUAAUACAAUGGAUAUGACAAAAAGUUGCUAGUUUGCGAAAACCGGCUAAUCUAUAAACAUAUCCCUAGUUCAGAUUGCAGGCUGCAACUCGCCUGCAUGAAGGUGGAAUCGCUAGUAAUCGCAGGUCAGCUAUACUGCGGUGAAUCCGUUCCCGGGCUUUGUACACACCGCCCGUCACACCAUGGGAGUUAAUCAUACCCGAAGCUAUUCUCUUAACCUUUAUUGGAUGGAAAUAUUUAAGGUAGGAUUGGUGACUGGGGUG